Molecule: long non-coding RNA, 215 nt
Organism: Epinephelus moara (kelp grouper)
Lineage: Eukaryota; Metazoa; Chordata; Actinopteri; Perciformes; Serranidae
Exons: 3
Source: RefSeq, a predicted model, not a curated record
AUUAACGUACAGGUAGGGCAUAUACAGUGGGGUAUUAAUGUACAGGUAGGGUAUAUAUAGCCGGGUAUUAACGUACAGGUAGGGCAUAUACAGUGGGGUAUUAAUGUACAGGUAGGGUAUAUAUAGCCGGGUAUUAACGUACAGGUAGGGUAUAUACAGUGGGGUAUUAAUGUACAGGUAGGGUAUAUACAGUGGGGUAUUAAUGUACAGGUAGG